Drosophila pseudoobscura is the source of this 372-nucleotide long non-coding RNA. RefSeq lists it as uncharacterized. The record is from RefSeq and is a predicted model, not a curated record. The transcript is spliced from 2 exons. NCBI's taxonomy places the organism in Eukaryota, Metazoa, Arthropoda, Insecta, Diptera, Drosophilidae.
UGGGCUCCGAGCGAGCUUGCCGGCCGUCUCUACCUACCUCUGAAAAAACAGUAAAAAUAAUACAGUAAAAUACAAACUAAACCUAGGGAAAACAAAUUAUUUAAAAAGUUCUAGAAAUCUAGAAAACCUGUGGAAGUUUCGGAGAAUUGUAGCACAAAUAUAUGUCUUUGUUAAUUACAAUGAUUUUCAUUCGGGAUCUAAGAUAGGAAAAUUUCACUUCUGUGGUCAUCCACGCACCUAAUGGAAAUAGUUCAAGUGCCAGCACCGCUUUAAAAUUUUAAUAAUGUCAAAAUAAAGCGAUUAUUUUGUAACUUUAAUUUAACUAUCAUUUGAUUUAAAACUCAAAAUAAAAUAAAAUUAUUAUUCAAACUA